UACGUAGGGUGCGAGCGUUGUCCGGAUUUAUUGGGCGUAAAGAGCUCGUAGGCGGCUUGUCGCGUCGAAUGUGAAAACUCGGGGCUCAACCCCGCGCUUGCAUUCGAUACGGGCAGGCUCGAGUUCGGUAGGGGAGACUGGAAUUCCUGGUGUAGCGGUGAAAUGCGCAGAUAUCAGGAGGAACACCGGUGGCGAAGGCGGGUCUCUGGGCCGAAAGUUGGACGCUGGACGGAAGCGAAAGCGUGGGGAGCAAACAGGA
This 259-nucleotide ribosomal RNA is filed under the name uncultured bacterium. Its description in RNAcentral is "partial 16S ribosomal RNA". It matches the Rfam family "Bacterial small subunit ribosomal RNA", at positions 524 to 777 of the family's 1533-position model. The record is from RNAcentral.